Molecule: ribosomal RNA, 230 nt
Filed under: uncultured bacterium
Lineage: Bacteria
Description: partial 16S ribosomal RNA
Rfam family: Bacterial small subunit ribosomal RNA
Source: RNAcentral
AAGGGUGGCGUAGGCGGCCUGUUAAGUCAGGGGUGAAAGACGGUAGCUCAACUAUCGCAGUGCCCUUGAUACUGAUGGGCUUGAAUUGACUAGAGGUAGGCGGAAUGUGACAAGUAGCGGUGAAAUGCAUAGAUAUGUCACAGAACACCGAUUGCGAAGGCAGCUUACUAUGGUCUUAUUGACGCUGAGGCACGAAAGCGUGGGGAUCAAACAGGAUUAGAUACCCUUGU